GAGAUCAUCUUUCUAGAUAAUUCCCCAUAACAAACUUCUGGAUUAGAGGGCACGAUAUUUUGGGGGAGGGGGAAUCUUUCCUGGGGACGUUUUUUUUCUUCUUCUCUUUCUUUCUCUUUCUAUAUAACACAUGCACACACAAAAGUCACACAGAAGAAAAAGGGGGAUAACGGAAAUAGGGAGAGAGGACCUGGAGAAAAGGAGAACAAAAAAAAAAAAAAAAACGAGCUCACUCCUCUUCUUCCUCAUUAGUUCAUCACCAUCUUUGCACCAUAAAACAAAAUCUAAAAACUGCCUUCUUCUUCCAUGAAAGUCCAGCCAUGAAAUCCCAACUCAAAACCAUCCAAAACACCACCAUUUACAGCUGAAAAGUGCAGCAAAACAGGCACAAAAACAGAGCAAAAAUGGAGAACAAAAAAAUCUCCAAAAAACCAGCCUGAAAAUCACGCACACACACAGAUAUCCAUCGCCUCUGCUCCUUCUUCUUCUGCCUGAAACUCGCCGGAUUAGCGAGCUCCAUCCGCGACAAACAGAACCAAACAGCCCCGCACCAGAUCUCUAUAGCCAACACUCAGCACCCCUCUAAAAUCGGCAGCCGCACGCACGUUCAGUCCAAAAUCGAGUGAACGUUAGCUUCGAGCUUGAGUGUCGAGUUUCUCGGUAUCGUUUCGAGCUUCCGUCUAGCGUCCGUGGUUCAUGCUUCAGCUGUCCCGUUUGCUGUAACAAUUGUUGCAUCCGAACAUAAAACUGUAAAGUUGGGAAAUUCUCGUUAAAUACGCAACACUAGAGGUCUGCCGCAUUUCUUACUCCUUAGUCUAACGAUGUUAACCAGAGUAGGACUAUUACUUGUUUGGGAACGAGUCAUUCGACUGCUCCCUUGUUGCAACAUUUUUGGAGGAGGAGGCGACUCAAAAUCAUCAUCAUCGGGAGCCUGCACAUGCUUAUUCGCUUCAGAAGAAGAGGGUGAGGGAAAGUCACUCGAAGAUUUAACUGGAGUGGGAGUAUUUCUCAUUUGAGAACGAGUCAUCCGACUGCUCUCUGGUUGCAAGUUUUUAGGAGGAGCAGCAGAAUCAAAAUCAUCAACUUCUGGCGCCGGGGCAUUUACAUUAGAUUCUGAAUCAGGGCUUGAGGGAAACUCCCUCAAUCGUUUCGCAUAAUCUAACUAACGCCUUUUCCGUCAAUCUUCAGUUUGUUUUUAGAAGCA
Long non-coding RNA from Nicotiana attenuata, 1204 nucleotides. RefSeq lists it as uncharacterized. Lineage: Eukaryota; Viridiplantae; Streptophyta; Magnoliopsida; Solanales; Solanaceae. The record is from RefSeq and is a predicted model, not a curated record. The transcript is spliced from 2 exons.